GACGGAAGGUGCAAGCGUUGCUCGGAAUCACUGGGCGUAAAGGGUGCGUAGGCGGCUUGGUAAGUUGGGUGUGAAAGCCCCGGGCUCAGCCCGGGAAGGGCACUCGAAACUGCCGAGCUGGAGUGCCGGAGGGGAGAGUGGAAUUCCUGGUGUAGCGGUGAAAUGCGCAGAUAUCAGGAAGAACACCAAUGGCGAAGGCAGCUCUCUGGGACGGUACUGACACUGAGACGCGAAAGCGUGGGGAGCGAACAGG
RNAcentral lists this ribosomal RNA (253 nucleotides) under uncultured bacterium. RNAcentral describes it as "partial 16S ribosomal RNA". It matches the Rfam family "Bacterial small subunit ribosomal RNA", at positions 524 to 776 of the family's 1533-position model. The record is from RNAcentral.